RNAcentral lists this non-coding RNA (119 nucleotides) under Firmicutes bacterium CAG:145. Its description in RNAcentral is "Glycine riboswitch aptamer". It matches the Rfam family "Glycine riboswitch aptamer". From Rfam's summary of the family: This family represents the bacterial glycine riboswitch. Glycine riboswitches usually consist of two metabolite-binding aptamers domains with similar structures in tandem. RNAcentral also lists the same sequence under 1 other name. The record is from Rfam by way of RNAcentral. Lineage: Bacteria; Bacillati; Bacillota.
CUAUGAUUCUCUGGAGAGUCCCUCAUAAAGGGCGCCGAAGGUGUACGCAUACGGAUUCAGAACGCACUGACCGAAAAUCUCGUAUGUAAUCUCUCAGGCAAAAGGACAGAGCAGAUAGU